UACGGAAGAUGCGAGCGUUAUCCGGAUUUAUUGGGUUUAAGGGAGCGUAGGCGGGCGUUUAAGCCGGCGGUCAAAUGUCAUGGCCCAACCUUGGCAUGCCGUUGGAACUGGAUGUCUUGGAUACACACAAGGAAGGUGGAAUUCGUCGUGUAGCGGUGAAAUGCUUAGACAUGACGAAGAACCCCGAUUGCGAAGGCAGCCUUCUGGGGUGCGAUUGACGCUGAGGCUCGAAAGUGCGGGUAUCGAACAG
This 250-nucleotide ribosomal RNA is filed under the name uncultured prokaryote. RNAcentral's name for it is "partial 16S ribosomal RNA". It matches the Rfam family "Bacterial small subunit ribosomal RNA", at positions 524 to 775 of the family's 1533-position model. The record is from RNAcentral.